Molecule: small nucleolar RNA, 104 nt
Organism: Suricata suricatta (meerkat)
Lineage: Eukaryota; Metazoa; Chordata; Mammalia; Carnivora; Herpestidae
Source: Ensembl
GUCCUUUUGUAGUUCAUAAGCAUGAGGAUUGAGUGUUUACACCAUUGUCUGACAUGUGCCACCCUUAAACCUUGUUAUGACAUUGGCCCAUUACCCAUCUGACA